UUACCACUCUGGCCUUUUGGCUUAGAUCAAGUGUAGUAUGACAGAACUAGAUGUAUGUUGAUCGAAUGUUGGCGGAGACUUGCCUUAAGUGGAAAGUGAUAACCGGUCAUGUGACCUUUAUCUUAUCUUAUCUUAAUAGUUUAACCACUAUUAUGAGGGCACCACCCUCAUUCUUUGGUUAUCAAAUUUUUGACGCCCUUGAUCCCUGCGAGCUCUGCUUGCAACUCCAGGGACGUGAUGACCUUGCCACUGCAGUACCGGCUCGUGUCGUCGGGGGAUC
RNAcentral lists this small nuclear RNA (280 nucleotides) under Paxillus involutus ATCC 200175. Its description in RNAcentral is "U2 spliceosomal RNA". It matches the Rfam family "U2 spliceosomal RNA". From Rfam's summary of the family: U2 is a small nuclear RNA (snRNA) component of the spliceosome (involved in pre-mRNA splicing). Complementary binding between U2 snRNA (in an area lying towards the 5' end but 3' to hairpin I) and the branchpoint sequence (BPS) of the intron results the bulging out of an unpaired adenosine, on the BPS, which initiates a nucleophilic attack at the intronic 5' splice site, thus starting the first of two transesterification reactions that mediate splicing. The record is from Rfam by way of RNAcentral. Lineage: Eukaryota; Fungi; Basidiomycota; Agaricomycetes; Boletales; Paxillaceae.